CAUUCUUUCUCUCUGUAGCAAACAAAGAAAAAAGACAAGCCGCGACCCCAGGGAACAGGAGGCCUUGGGCUCCUCCCUCCUCCCCCAGGAGGCAAGAUUGCCCCACCCCCAUCAACUGUCCUGUCCAAUCACGUCACAGAAACCACGGGUUCUGGUCACACCCACACAGGGGGAGGGGACACAGGGCGUCUGCUGGACCUGGACGGCUCUUCCUCCAUCCCCACGCAGUCCCUCUCGAACCCGGGCGCCGACCUGUGGGGGGAGUUCUCCUCUCCAGCCAGCUCGGUCUCCACCACAAACCCGGAGUCUUCAUCUGGAAACUGGGUGCAGUUUUGAGCUCGGCCCUGCUCCUUUCUCUCGGUCUCCUUUUCUCUCCUGUCCAGUCAUGCCUGCCCAUGUCUCUCCCCUGUUGCUCUUUCAUUCCUAUAGACUGCUAAAACACUGACUUGAUCACUAAUGAUCUCUCUGCUCUGCUUCCCUCCUCUGUCUCCUCUCUCUCUGUGUGUCUCCUGUCCUGUUGUUGUGUCUUUAUUGCUGAGGGAUUCUCUGUGAUCUCCUCUCUCUCCCUGUGUCUCCUGUCCUGUUGUGUGUGUUUAUUGCUGAGGGAUUCUCUGUGAUAUCUCCUCUCUCUCUGUGUCUCCUGUCCUGUUGGGUGUGCUAAUUACUGAGGGAUUCUCUGUGAUCUCCUCUCUCAAAUUCUUCAUAUUCAAGGAGACACAACGAGAGAGAGAAGAGAUAACAGGGUUUUGAGCAGAGAGAAAACUUAACUAGAUCUUUCAAAAGGUACUGUACCCUCUCCUAUAUUGAUAGUCCACCCUGAAGAACACUGCAUUAGUUUACAAUAAUUAUGCUGAAUAUUACAAUACAAAUAAGAUAAAUAUUGUGUGUAUAUAAUUGUGAAUGUAUAUAUCCAUAGAGCCAGUGAAAAUAUGAUCUGUUUUUAGAUGAUUUGUCAAGUUUAAGAUUUGAAGUUAAUAAUUCAUUCUGUACAUAACAUGGUUCUGUCUGUACGUUUCUCUGUGUUGAUAAACUCGUGGGAAAUUCAUUUGUGUGUAUUGAACAUCAUCUAAAAAUAAAGAAUAUACUAAAUGAUUUUUUAUCAUUUGUCUAGGUGUAUAUAUAGUGUCCUCCAGGAGCGUUUGUGUAUACAG
Molecule: long non-coding RNA, 1151 nt
Filed under: Lepisosteus oculatus (spotted gar)
Lineage: Eukaryota; Metazoa; Chordata; Actinopteri; Semionotiformes; Lepisosteidae
Description: lncRNA (ENSLOCG00000023232.1)
Source: RNAcentral